CUAUUGAUUUUUAAGUAUGCAUUUGAUACUCUCGAUUCUGUCUUCUAAUUCCACUGAAUCAAGUAACUGAUUUGAAAGAGCUGUAUUGUAGUAACUAGACU
Long non-coding RNA from Sebastes umbrosus (honeycomb rockfish), 101 nucleotides. RefSeq lists it as uncharacterized. The record is from RefSeq and is a predicted model, not a curated record. Lineage: Eukaryota; Metazoa; Chordata; Actinopteri; Perciformes; Sebastidae. The transcript is spliced from 3 exons.